Molecule: long non-coding RNA, 356 nt
Filed under: Mytilus galloprovincialis (Mediterranean mussel)
Lineage: Eukaryota; Metazoa; Mollusca; Bivalvia; Mytilida; Mytilidae
Source: RNAcentral
GUCUGGGUCUUUUAAGGCUCACCUGAUUAAGGCAAUAGUAGUUUACAAGUGUUCAAAGAUGUCUGGGUCUUUUAAGGCAAUAGUAGUUUACAAAUGUUCACAGAUGUCUGGGCCUUUUAAGCUCACCUGAUACAAAGGUGCAAUGUUCUUCUAAUGUGGUUUUGAUUAUUUGUUGUCUCCUGUUGACUUUUAGAAAGAAACUACCAGGCCAUUGCAACCAGACUUGGACAAAUUUGUUCUAUUAGUGUCUAGAUACCAUUAAAUGUGUGUUGCAGCCAUCAAACUAUGGCAACCAAAACCAGAGAAAAAAAUAGGGAUUAUAUGCAAUUAUUGUCUAAUAUCGUAUAUGCUUUUUA